GGGUUGUCCGGAAUUAUUGGGCGUAAAGGGCUCGCAGGCGGUUUCUUAAGUCUGAUGUGAAAGCCCCCGGCUCAACCGGGGAGGGUCAUUGGAAACUGGGAAACUUGAGUGCAGAAGAGGAGAGUGGAAUUCCACGUGUAGCGGUGAAAUGCGUAGAGAUGUGGAGGAACACCAGUUGGCGAAGGCGACUCUCUGGUCUGUAACUGACGCUGAGGAGCGAAAGCGUGGGGGAGCGAACAGGAUUAGAUACCCUGGUAGUCCACGCCGUAAACGAUGAGUGCUAAGUGUUAGGGGGUUUCCGCCCCUUAGUGCUGCAGCUAACGCAUUAAGCACUCCGCAUGGGGUCCA
Molecule: ribosomal RNA, 348 nt
Filed under: Bacillus pumilus
Lineage: Bacteria; Bacillati; Bacillota; Bacilli; Caryophanales; Bacillaceae
Description: bacterial SSU rRNA
Rfam family: Bacterial small subunit ribosomal RNA
Source: RNAcentral